GCUGACAUAACUUGGAUUUUGCUUCAAACUUGAACUUCUAGAAUAUUCUGUACUGUGUUUUCUUCUUCGAGUAGGAGAGCAUUCUGUAUAUCUUUUUUUCUUCAUUUUUGCCUGGAGUGUUUGUUUACCAUAGAGCUGUAUAAUAUCAUACACAUUUGUUUAACUCUCUUAAUCUCAAAGGAAGAUUGUUUUUUGCCUUCUAUUUGCUUCUCUCUCUCUACAGCUGCCAGAAGUUCUUCAAGUUUAUGCUUUUAUUAAAUAUUUAAGCACAUAUUUUCAGGGAUGAAACAUAUUCUCGGCUCAGAGCUGUGCUAGCAGAUGUGGUCUCUUCUGCCGUGGGGUGCUGGGUUCGUGGCAGGCUUAUGAAGUGACCUCAUGUAAUCAAUGGGAAAUAGAGAGAUGGGAGGUGUUAUGUUAUUUGAAGCUUCAGACUGGCCCUUAUUCCUAGAAGGCACUUGGAGGUCAGCAGCAGUGUAGUGAUAUGCAAUUCCAGGGUCAGCACCACAGAAUGAAAGUGAAACGAAUAAUACAUGCUGAUUUAAAGUAAAAUGUGUACCUCCUGAGAGAAAAUGGUGACAUUUAAAUUCUUGCAACCCAGGCAGAAAUCUUUUAUUCAGUGAAUGGCUCUGACCAGCAAAGUUUGCAAAUGAGAACUUCUUUAACAUUCGUGUGGCAUGGUCUAACGCCAAUUAAUUGUUUAUGGAGCACCUGCCAUGUGCUCAGGCUGGUUGUAGAGAGGAGCUGGUUUCAGAAAUAGCAUCAAAAAUGGCCUCUGUGACUUUGCCAGAAUACUGAGGGCUGAAUCCAAGCCUGUUAGAUCAUGUUUCUUCUGAAUCCCGCACUUCCCCUGACUGCGGCUUACAGGUUGUAUGGACCAUAAAGUGAGCUGACCUCACAAAGGGAUAGAAAGAAGUGAUGUGAGGUUGCUGAAUGACUUAAAAAAAGCGCCUCCUAUGGCUGAACCAACAGAAGCCAGGUGAUGGGGGAGCCUUUGAUGCAGACAUGGAGUACUGUUCUCUCAGCACUCUGUCUUACAGGUGACCCUCAAACAAGGCAACAUGACAGUUACCACAGACUCCUCUCAUCCAUCAUGAGAACACUGUGAUAGAAUUGUCUCUUAGGGACGCGGAGGACAGGCUCUGAAAGAAAGGAACUGAUCUGUUGAGCAUGAACUGUAGGGUACAGGAGGAAAAUGAGGAGACUCAUUGAAGAGCAAUUUCAGGAAUCCAAGUAAGACACGAUGGUGGCUCAAACCAGGGUGAUAGCACAAGAGGUAGUGGGAAAUAGAGUCUGGAUGUUUUCUGAAGGGUUUAAACAACGGGUUUUGAGGUGAUUUCCUGAACAACAUGUUUUGAGGUGACUGAAUAUGGGAUGUGGAAGUUUUUGUCUUAAGAAACUGGAUGACUAGAGAUGCAGCAGACUUCAGAUAUAGUAGGUGUUAUGGUUUGAAUGUCCCUUCCAAAAUUCAUGUUGUAAUUUAAUUGCUAUUGUAAUGGUAUGAAGCGGUGAGAUAUUUAAAAGGUGGAUUUAAUGCCUUGAUAAAAAGGCUUUCCGGAAUUGGCCAUCUUUUGCCCUUUUGCCUCCUGCCAUGGGAUGGUGCAGCAAGAAAGCCCUUACCAGAUGCCAACUCCUCAGUCUUGAACUUCCCAGACUGCAGAACUGCAAGCUAUAAAUUUCUGUUUAGUAUAAAUUACCCAGUCUCAGGAAUUCUGUAAUAGCAGCGAAAAUUGACUAAGACAGUAGGAUUGUGAAGAAAGAUAACUCAGUUUUGUACAUGCUAAGUUUAGGACAUCUACUAAACAUCAAUGUAAAGAUACUGAUUAGGGAGUUGAAUAUAUGAAUCUGGGAUUCAGCUGAGAAAUUGGAGUUAGAUGUACACAUUAAGAAGUUGCCAAAAUGUAGAUGACAUUUAAAGCCAUGGGAUUGGAUCAGAUGGAUAUGAGUAUAGAUAAUAAUAAGAAUACCCAGGACUGAAUCCAGGAGCAUGUCAAAAUUGAAGGAAGCCAUUUCGUUUUAUAGGUCCGGUGUAGAUCCAGUGUAGUGUUUAUUUAUUUCACAAGCAUGCAUGUGCUCGUGUGUGUGUGUGUGUGCGCACGUGUGUGUGUGUGUGUGUGCGUGUGUGUUUCCCUUUAGGUUAACCUAAACUUGUAUUGCAUGGGAAAAUAAAUUAUCAACUGAAUGGUUUUGGUGCAUGAAAAGCCAUUACUCCCUGCCAUCACUUGAAAAAUACUCUUAUUAGUCAGGGUUCUCAGAGAAACAGAGCCAAUAAGAUAUAUGGAGAGGUAUAGAUUUGUUUGUUUAUUAUGGGAACUGUCUCAUGUAACUAUAGAGGCCAAGAAACCCUGUGAUCUGCCAUCUGCAAGCUAAAGAACCAGGAAAGACGAUGACAUAAUUAAUUUGAGUCUAAAAACCUGAGAACAAGGGGAGUCAAUGGUAUAAGUCCUAAUCAGAGUCUGAAGGGGUAAGGUCAGAUGGUGUAAUUCCCCUACUGAAUCUAAAGGCCUAAGAACCAGGUGCUGAUGUCUCAGAUGAUGAGUGAAACAUGAAUCAUGAAACAUAAAUCAUUUCAAUAACCUUUCCAGGGUAGAAGAUACUCAAUGUAACUAACUUUCCACCAUGUGGCUGGUUGGCCUCAAUGGUUAAUAUCAUACUUGAGUAAGGAUGAGUAUCCUCAUUGGUCUCUGUGACUAGAAAGUUGAAUAUUUGUCAGCACCAGUACCUGGGUCACUGCUGAGGAGUGGGAGUGAAUAUUGCUAAAUCCAUGCACAGCCUCCAUACCAGGGCUAUGCAAAUCAUGCACUGUUGUUUGAACACUGGCAACUAAUGACAGAGGCUGGUCAAUUUCAACUGGCCAAAUGACUCUUCCGUGUCUAUUAAUGAUUUAGUGGGGAUAUUCUUUUGACGUGCAUGUUCUUUAGUGGUCAUUAAGAUGUAAUGCAAGUAUCUCCCUGCUUAAGGAGAGAGAGAGAGAGUACAAACUAGCCCAUCCUCCACCUUUUUUGUUCUAUCUGGGCCAUGAACAGAUUGAAUGAUGUCCUUCCAUAUUGGUGAGGGUGGAUCUUCUUUAUGCAGCAUACUGAUUUACUGAUUCAAAUGCUAGUCUCUCCCUGAAAGAGCCCUCACACAUUUAAAAAUAAUGUCUUACCAGCUAUCCUGGCAUCUUUUAGCCCGGUCAAGUUGACACACAAAAUUACCCAUCACAGGCUCCAAGAUAAUUCAAGAAUUUUGAAAUGAGAUCUAUGCUAGGUUCUGAGGAUAAAAAAAAAAAAUAAACAAAAGAGUUCUUAUCGUAGUCCAUCAUAUAAAAUAUAUAUAUAUGUGAUAAGUGAACAGAGAGGAGGAAACCUUUUCCACCUUUGCUGCUGCACUUUCUUCUUCUCAUAGAGGGAUUUCUUCUACUCAUAGAUGGAUUGAAAAACCUGGGUUUUAGCCUUUAUUCUUACCACUUAACUCAACAUCUCUUGUGGCCAAGCUCUAUUGAGUCCAUCUUAAAAAAUGUUAUUGAAUCUACCCAUUUCUUCCAUUUUUGAUGGGGCAGUCAGUGUUAUCUUUUUUUAAAAAGGCAAAAAACAAAGAAAGAAUGGAUGAAGGAAAGGAGGAAGAGAAGGAGGGAGAGAGGAAGGGAGGAAAGAAGUAGUACUUGAAACCCUUUAGAGACUUCCUACUAGCCUUGGGACAAUCUCUAUGCCUUUUGUUACCUGUUCUUGAUGCCUCUCCAAACCUGUGUUAGAGUUCUGAAACUCUUUCUUCCCUCGUUUGCAUCCACCAUGGCUAACACUUGCAUCUAGUCUUACUGCUAAAUAUUCUCCAGAUCUCAGUUUAAAUGUCUAGUCUGUGACCUCAUCCUUAUACUCCCACCAGACUACAAGUGCCCCUGGUAUUUGCUUCCAUGAGCCCAUUUACUUUUUAUCAUUACAAAUAUGAUAUGAUACUAUAUUUUGUUGCUCAUCAAGAUGCACUCAGAGCCUAGCAUUCCAUGAAGCAUUCAACCAAAA
This is a long non-coding RNA of Callithrix jacchus (white-tufted-ear marmoset), 3995 nucleotides long. Lineage: Eukaryota; Metazoa; Chordata; Mammalia; Primates; Cebidae. The record is from Ensembl.